CGUAACACGUAAGCAACCUGCCCGAAAGACCGGGACAACGUUUCGAAAGAGGCGCUAAUACCGGAUGUGACCAGCGGAUGACAUCUUCUGCUGAUUAAAUCAUUUAUGGCUUUCGGAGGGGCUUGCGGCCUAUCAGCUAGAUGGUGGGGUAACGGCCUACCAUGGCGACGACGGGUAGCUGGUCUGAGAGGAUGGUCAGCCGGAUUGGGACUGAGAUACGGCCCAG
This 226-nucleotide ribosomal RNA is filed under the name uncultured bacterium. RNAcentral describes it as "partial 16S ribosomal RNA". It matches the Rfam family "Bacterial small subunit ribosomal RNA", at positions 109 to 334 of the family's 1533-position model. The record is from RNAcentral.